RNAcentral lists this ribosomal RNA (459 nucleotides) under uncultured bacterium. RNAcentral describes it as "partial 16S ribosomal RNA". It matches the Rfam family "Bacterial small subunit ribosomal RNA", at positions 338 to 795 of the family's 1533-position model. The record is from RNAcentral.
CCUACGGGUGGCAGCAGUGAGGCAUAUUGGUCAAUGGGCUAGAGCCUGAACCAGCCAAGUCGCGUGAGGGAAGACGGUCCUAUGGAUUGUAAACCUCUUUUGCCGGGGAGCAAAAAGCGGUACGUGUACCGCAUCGAGAGUACCCGGAGAAACAGCAUCGGCUAAGUACGUGCCAGCAGCCGCGGUAAUAAGGAGGAUGCGAGCGUUAUCCGGAUUUAUUGGGUUUAAAGGGUGCGCAGGCGGCGAGUUAAGUCAGCGGUAAAAUUUCGGGGCUCAAACCCGACAAGUCGUUGACACUGGCUUGCUAGAGUGGGCGAGAAGUAUGCGGAAGGCGUGGUGUAGCGGUGAAAUGCAUAGAUAUCACGCAGAACUCCGAUUGCGAAGGCAGCAUACCGGCGCCCAACUGACGCUCAGGCACGAAAGCGUGGGUAUCGAACAGGAGUAGAUACCCGUGUAGUC